Molecule: transfer RNA, 68 nt
Filed under: Allacta transversa
Lineage: Eukaryota; Metazoa; Arthropoda; Insecta; Blattodea; Pseudophyllodromiidae
Description: tRNA-Val
Source: RNAcentral
CAGGUUAUUCUUUAAUAGUAAUUUUCUUUUACAUUGAAAAUUUUAAUGUGUAAUUCAUUAUAACUUGA